UCAAUUUACAGAUAAAAUGGAAAAUGCUUUUUCUGUUUUCACAGUAUAUCUCUCUCUUCCACCUCGUCGUGUUUUUAAACUCACUUUCCAAUUUGCUAACUUUACAUUUAGCUGUUGUGUGACAUACAUUGACUGUAUAGAAGAACUGGACUGAGCGCGUGUGAAGUCACCCAUGUAAAAUGGUUUACUUCCGACUCCAACAAAAUGUCGUCAAUUCAGUCGCCAUUUGUUGCGAUACAGACUCCACCAUGUUGGAGACAGACAAUGUCAUUAGGGAUUGAUCCAAGUCGGUGUGGGUCAUUGUUUCUAUGGAAACCACUCUUCCCAAUCACUGAUGAUCUUGUUGGAAGUCCACAACUUUACCACUUGAAACUAGGCUACAAGGAAUCUGUCAAUCAAAGAUUUUAACUCUUCGCCUUUGAUUCUCACAUUCACAAGUGCUGAAAGACAGUACUUCAACGAGUCCCAACAGCUUACUUGGGAUGAGGCCAGGAGCUACUGCCAGGUCUGCUAUAAGGAUCUAGUGGCUCUGACCUCAGACAAUGUCCAGGUAAUAAUCAAGAUGAUUGACACAGACCACUGGAUUGGCCUUCGCAAGCACUUCCCCAAAAACGUGACAGACAAAAACAAUUUCACCAGUGACAGCAACUUCACCAGCAAUGACAACUUCACCUAUGACAAGGGCAGCAAAAGCAAUUUCAGCAACAUAGAAAGCAUCAUCAACCUAGUUAACAACACCAACAUCACCACUAGGCCUCCCUGCAAGACUUGGUGCAAAUGGUCCAAUGGGGAUCCCCUUAUCUUCCAGAACUGGUAUCCUGGCAUGCCAGUGUUUAAAUCUCGCCUCCCAGAAAUAAAAUGCUGCAGUUGCUCUUGCACAUGCCCAGGAUCAACAACCAGGGUUACGACGAGACUUGCCCCGUUUACAGAAUCACCCACUGUACAGACCAGUGUUAUGUAUUCUCCUCCUGAAAGUACAGGGCAAAUUGAAAUAACCAAGGCCAGUGAAGGAACAACAGACGAAACAUAUCAUGUUCCAUCCACCCCAUCGGCAGCAUUUGGGAAAACAGAAGCCAGAACAACUCAAAUGAGCAGUACUAUAACCACCAAUCAAGAGGAAAUUACUACAAAAGAAGAAAAACCAACUAUGCCCACCAACCAAAAUAUAUUCCUAAAUUGCAGAAUCAAAGAAAGAACCAACCAAGAGGGACUUACCACCAACCAGGAGGGACUUAGCACUGCAAGAGAGAGUACGACGGACAGUAAACAUUCAAGACAAACCACAACCCAAGAGGGAAUUAGCACUGCAGGAGAGAGUGUGACUAAAGUAGGAGAUCUCUCAGUAACUACAACCCAAGAGGGAAUUAGCACUGCAGGACAAAGUGUGACUAAAGUAGGAGAUCUGUCAGUAACUACAACCCAAGAAGGAUUUAGAACUGCAGGAGAAAGUACAACUAAAGUAGAAGAUCUCUCAGUAACUACAACCAAAGAGGGGUUUAGCACUGCAGGAGAAAGUACAACUCACUGGAAAGGUUGUGAGACCACCAACCAAGAAACGUUGCUAACUUGCAAAGUAGUUGAAAGCACUCCUGACACUGGAAAUUGUUUCAAAACCACCACCCCAGGGGACAUUAGCACAGUUUCAGAUAGUACCACUGUUACAGGAAAAUCCUUUACCACAGACCAAGAGCAAAAAAGCACUUUCCAAACAAACAUCUCUUUCACCACUGCCGAAAUAACUCACAGCCCAGUCACUCAAGAUACAACUGGAAAGACAACAGAUCAACAGACGCCAGUGACAUCUACAAAAAGCACAACAACUUUUGAUGUUUUCGAGUCCUCCACAGGCUCCCUUUGGACAACCACUCUGCCUUCAUCAGAAGCAACAUGUGAACAAUCUCCUGUGGAGAUUCCACUUCUCGCUGAAAUUAAUGAAAACUACAUUGAGGACUCUUGCGUGGUCAUAACUAGUUUUGGACCUUGGAUUGAAAUGAGUUGCUCAGAGAUUCUUCCUUUUAUUUGUUAUGAAGACAGAUUUUUCGGUCAAGUCAAUGUGACGAACGUAACAUCAGGGAGUGCCACUCUGACCUGGCUGCCUGGACCCGGUGGCAUCAGUCAUUAUGAUGUUGAGGUCACAGGUGACAUCGAACUGUACGAAAAUGUGACAGAUUUGACCCUUGACCUUUUUAACCUCACGGCAGGAAGCUACUACAAAGUUCAGGUGUUUCCAGUUAAGUGUUACCGACGCCUCAACCCCCAGAAUGCCUCCUUCUACACCAGUAAGCUAAAUCCAAUUCUUAUUUUCACUUCAAAUUCAAUAAUUAUGGAUUUAUUUUAGAGCUGCACGGUGGGAAUAGUGGUUAGCACUCUCGCCUCACAGGAUCGAACCUUGUGUGUGGAAAUUACAUGUUCUCCUCAUGCAUGUGUGGGGAUUUCUCCAGUGACAUCAACAAAAAGGAAAGCAACCA
RNAcentral lists this long non-coding RNA (2468 nucleotides) under Oryzias sinensis (Chinese medaka). RNAcentral describes it as "lncRNA (ENSOSIG00000000850.1)". The record is from RNAcentral. Lineage: Eukaryota; Metazoa; Chordata; Actinopteri; Beloniformes; Adrianichthyidae.